This 465-nucleotide ribosomal RNA is filed under the name uncultured bacterium. RNAcentral's name for it is "partial 16S ribosomal RNA". It matches the Rfam family "Bacterial small subunit ribosomal RNA", at positions 338 to 795 of the family's 1533-position model. The record is from RNAcentral.
CCUACGGUGUGCUGCAGUAGGGAAUCUUCCACAAUGGGCGAAAGCCUGAUGGAGCAACGCCGCGUGGGUGAAGAAGGUCUUCGGAUCGUAAAACCCUGUUGUUAGCGAAGAAAGUGCGUGAGAGUAACUGUUCACGUUUCGACGGUAUCUAACCAGAAAGCCACGGCUAACUACGUGCCAGCAGCCGCGGUAAUACGUAGGUGGCAAGCGUUAUCCGGAUUUAUUGGGCGUAAAGGGAACGCAGGCGGUCUUUUAAGUCUGAUGUGAAAGCCUUCGGCUUAACCGGAGUAGUGCAUUGGAAACUGGGAGACUUGAGUGCAGAAGAGGAGAGUGGAACUCCAUGUGUAGCGGUGAAAUGCGUAGAGAUCAGGAGGAACACCAGUGGCGAAGGCGGCUUACUGGACUGUAACUGACGUUGAGGCUCGAAAGCGUGGGGAGCAAACAGGAUUAGAUACCCGAGUAGUC